This 307-nucleotide unclassified non-coding RNA is filed under the name uncultured Ascomycota. Its description in RNAcentral is "sequence contains ITS1". The stretch from base 1 to 105 matches the Rfam family "5.8S ribosomal RNA", at positions 50 to 154 of the family's 154-position model. Lineage: Eukaryota; Fungi; Ascomycota. The record is from RNAcentral.
GAAAUGCGAUAAGUAAUGUGAAUUGCAGAAUUCAGUGAAUCAUCGAAUCUUUGAACGCACAUUGCGCCCCUUGGUAUUCCGAGGGGCAUUCCUGUUCGAGCGUCAUUACACCCCCCUCAAGCCUGGCUUGACGUUGGGCCGCCGCCUCCCCGGAGGCGCGCCCGAAUGGCAGUGGCGGCCCCGCCCGGCGGCAAGCGUAGUAGAUCAUCACACCCGCUUGCACCGCCCCGCCGAGGCCCGCCAGACAGCCCCCCCGACGUUCCGUCCGGUUGACCUCGGAUCAGGUAGGGAUACCCGCUGAACUUAA